GCUCCUGAGACUAACGUUUUGAGACCUUUGAGGAAGUCCUACAAACGCACUUAGCAGACAUCUGUUGGUGUCUCUGGAUUUCUUGCAGGCAGUUUUGUCCUGUGUCCCCUAGCAGACUUCAUUCCCUACACAAAGGAGAGAAAUACCAGCUCACAAAAGAUGUCUGAGCACAUCCUUGCUGUGAUCUGAACCAGCCAUGCAACAUCCAAGACAGGUCUCAAAGGAUUUGCAGUACAGAAAGGAGCACAUGGCAAUCCCUACUGCAGAAGGGGAAGCAGUGGCCCAGAGCAUUGUAUCACUGAGUAGCCAAGUUGGGAACCACACCUGAAUCAAUCGUAUUUUUGGUCAAAGCAGCAGCCAUUUCCCUGCGAGUGCAACAGAUGCCCAUACCAAAGCAAUUACUGUACGGGAGAUGCUGACUGGCUGGAAGAACCUGUUCAUUCUGGAUCUGUAAUGGAGCCUGUGAGGAGCUCAGCUUCCUGGUGUGGAAGAAGGUAAGUGUGUG
This 505-nucleotide long non-coding RNA is filed under the name Cairina moschata (Muscovy duck). Its description in RNAcentral is "domestica (muscovy Duck (domestic type)) lncRNA (ENSCMMG00000003152.1)". The record is from RNAcentral. Lineage: Eukaryota; Metazoa; Chordata; Aves; Anseriformes; Anatidae.